UUUUUCUCAAUGGGGGAAACCCUGAAGGAGCGACGCCGCGUGGAGGAUGAAGGUUUUCGGAUUGUAAACUCCUGUCAUUGGGGAACAAGGCAUUGGGUAGUCACUGACCUGAUGUUGAUAGUACCCGAAGAGGAAGGGACGGCUAACUCUGUGCCAGCAGCCGCGGUAAUACAGAGGUCCCAAGCGUUGUUCGGAUUCAUUGGGCGUAAAGGGUGCGUAGGCGGCGAGGUAAGUUGGAUGUGAAAUCCCGGGGCUCAACCCCGGAACUGCAUUCGAUACUGCUUUGCUAGAGUUCUGGAGAGGAGAUUGGAAUUCACGGUGUAGCAGUGAAAUGCGUAGAUAUCGUGAGGAAGACCAGUGGCGAAGGCGAAUCUCUGGACAGAUACUGACGCUGAGGCACGAAGGCCAGGGGAGCAAACGG
Molecule: ribosomal RNA, 421 nt
Filed under: uncultured bacterium
Lineage: Bacteria
Description: bacterial SSU rRNA
Rfam family: Bacterial small subunit ribosomal RNA
Source: RNAcentral